This 400-nucleotide ribosomal RNA is filed under the name uncultured bacterium. Its description in RNAcentral is "bacterial SSU rRNA". It matches the Rfam family "Bacterial small subunit ribosomal RNA", at positions 355 to 747 of the family's 1533-position model. The record is from RNAcentral.
UCGAGAAUCUUUCGCAAUGGGCGAAAGCCUGACGAAGCGACGCCGUGUGAGCGAAGAAGGCCUUCGGGUUGUAAAGCUCUUUCGCUUGUGAACAAGAGAGGCGCACGAACAAUGCGCCGAUUUGAGGGUAACAGGUAAAGAAGCACCGGCUAACUCCGUGCCAGCAGCUGCGGUAAUACGGAGGGUGCAAGGAUUGAUCGGAUUUAUUGGGCGUAAAGGGCGCGUAGGCGGCCCGGCAAGUCAGACGUGAAAUACUGGGGCUCAACCCCAGUGCGGCGUUUGAAACUAUCGGGCUUGAGGCUAGUUAGGGAAAACGGAAUUCCACGUGUAGCGGUGAAAUGCGUAGAUAUGUGGAAGAACACCGGUGGUGAAGACGGUUUUCUGGGCUAGAACUGACGCU